RNAcentral lists this long non-coding RNA (803 nucleotides) under Sorghum bicolor (sorghum). RNAcentral's name for it is "long non-coding RNA (SBIC_LNC007179)". The record is from RNAcentral. Lineage: Eukaryota; Viridiplantae; Streptophyta; Magnoliopsida; Poales; Poaceae.
GCUGUAAUCUGGAUCCGAGCAGGGCACACGAAGGCUUUGUCGGAUCCCGCUGCUGGUGACGCACCCUUGUCGGGCAGGGCCAUCACAGGUGAAUCGAAAGGCCCCGCCCCUGUCACAUCUGCCCUGCUCAGUGCCGGAUUGGAGCACAGGGAGGGGAAGUGGUGGUGUGGGUGAGAACCUCAGAGGUCCCUGCCAACAAAUGAAGAAACACAAGCACAAACAAAUAGGCAGGAGUCAGCAAAGGAAACACAUACUGUUUGCCAAUGGCGAGGGUGUUGUGGCUGCCGGUGCACUGAUGCCUAGUUACCCGUCCUCCAACUCAUCGUUCAGUUCACUAUUGCGGCUGCCGGUACACUGAUUUCACAUACUUUUUGUAUGUAAAAUCUGAGAUACCUGUAAUUCAUCGUUCAGUUCAAAUGGCAUUUCAAUUUGGCAAAGAUUUGUAAGUACUAAAAUAAUUUGGUAAAAAUUCUAUAUUAUUUCAAAUAAAUUUUUAUCAAGAGCAAUCCAUUUGAUGGCUUCUACGUAGUGCUGGCACCUACUAACAGAUUUGUGUGCCAAAGGAAAAGAACUUAUAGUAAUUUUUAAACGAGCUCUUGCAAAUCGAAGAUUAUUUAUGCUAGUGUUCGAAUCAGUACCUCUAAAGCACCACCAGAUUCAGGUGCUCUCGAUCUGUUUAUUGGCCUUGGAUUCAAGGGGGCAGCAGGAAGGGGAUGUUGGUACUGAUACAUACCUGAAGCAACGACGGUGGCGCGUCCUCCACCUCCCUCUAAGUUAGUGUCGGCACCACCCACCCACUCAUC